AGAAGGACGAGAAGAAGCGUGAAAAGGGAGUGCGAGGAUAAGAUAAAUCAGCAAAACGGUAUUUUUGUGUUGACACAUUUAGUUGCUGUAGCGAUUGGGGCCGGAAUCUUAUAUUGCGUUUUGAUCAUGAAAAAAAUGAAACGCGCAUUGAAGAGGGAUGAUAAAAUUAAAGAAGAAAGAAACAAAGAAAUGAACAAUGCCACUUUCAAUCUACAGAAAGGUUCGACUGAAAACAUGUCAGUUCCGUGCUUCAUGCAA
Molecule: long non-coding RNA, 258 nt
Organism: Saccostrea echinata
Lineage: Eukaryota; Metazoa; Mollusca; Bivalvia; Ostreida; Ostreidae
Exons: 3
Source: RefSeq, a predicted model, not a curated record